UGGGGGAUAUUGCACAAUGGGCGAAAGCCUGAUGCAGCGACGCCGCGUGGGGGAUGAAGGCUUUCGGGUUGUAAACCUCUUUCGCUAUCGAACAAGGCCCGCUUAGGGUGUGUUGAGUGUAGGGGUUGAUUAGCGCCGGCUAACUACGUGCCAGCAGCCGCGGUAAUACGUGGGGCGCGAGCGUUGUCCGGAAUUAUUGGGCGUAAAGGGCUUGUAGGUGGCUGGUUGCGUCUGUCGUGAAAGCUCAUGGCUUAACUGUGGGUUUGAGGUGGGUACGGGCUGGCUUGAGUGCAGUAGGGGAGGGUGGAAUUCCUGGUGUAGCGGUGGAAUGCGCAGAUAUCAGGAGGAAUACCGGUGGCGAAGGCGGGUCUCUGGGCUGUUACUGACACUGAGGAGCGAAAGCGUGGGGAGCGAACAGG
This 419-nucleotide ribosomal RNA is filed under the name bacterium. RNAcentral's name for it is "partial 16S ribosomal RNA". It matches the Rfam family "Bacterial small subunit ribosomal RNA", at positions 355 to 776 of the family's 1533-position model. The record is from RNAcentral.